AGGUUUUUAUGCGGAGCCGGUGAGGUGGAAGGACGAAGUCAUCCCAGCGACCGAAUCCCUCCCCGCAGACAGACAGCAGCCGCAGCUCGACGCUGAAGUUCACUUCCUAUUGAGUGUCGGACAACCGGCCAAAAACAAUAGCCAGAGGGUUCUGGUCGUCUUCUAUAUACCAACGUCAGACUUACUUCGGUGGAAAAGAGCUUGAGGCCUUGAAGGUUCACUGAAAUCUCUUUCUGAAAAACAUUAAUCCUCCGCCUCUUCGCCCGUCUGCAUCAUAACAAGAGGGGAAACUCUCUGCGCGAUUCCUGGACUUGCUGCCUCGGAGUAUUGGUUAACUGGCUGGAGUGGAAAAGCACGUCAUAGCAGGUGCAUAAACCUGCUCAACCUUAAACCCUCCCUUUAUUUAUUGUCUUCUUCUUCUCCCUCACCUGAGAAAAGAAUGAAAAAGUCUCAGAUGUCGGUCUACUGUUGCUUUUUCUCUCUCUUUUUAUUAUUUGUUCCCCGAGGGGGAAAAAAGAUGAGGAAAAAAAAUAAAUAAAAACAGGGUGGCAGCUAUAUUAAUUUCGAAAAUUUCUUGAUCUAGCUCUUGGUUUUUCCUCGAAACAUUUCCCAUUUUAAAAGCACACUUGUGACAGAGCGCCUCUCCCUCCAUUUCCGUUCAUGUUUUAUUUUACUUUUACUUUGCCUUAUUAGCUUUUUGCAGGGAAGCAGAAGGAGGAACUCAACUAUGGCGCUGUUAAUGCAACUCCUCCUGGCCACAUUAUAACAUUUAAACCUGAGACUAACAAAAAAUAUCACCCUCACUGCCAAAAAGAAAUCAUGGAGAGUUGUGCCGUUCCUUUAGGCUGUUUAUUUUUUAGCAUAAUUGUGUGUGUUUUCAUGAUUACUGUAUUGAGUUUCUUGUGCACACUAUUUUAAGUCAGUGUUACACACAAGAACACAACGCCCAGAUCUACAGACAAUAUUUACUUGAUUGCCACACCCGUCUGUUCACAUAAUGUGGAUUCAUUCCUGAACUGUUUCUUAACUACUGUACAUUCACCUUAUUGUCUCUAACAGCAUAAGCAGAACCAGCCCUUUAUUGCUAGGGUGUGUAAAAUAAAGUUUUAAUUUUACCUAAUAAGUUAAAACAUAUAAAUGAAGAUACCUGUUCUCUUUAACAAUAUUGUUUAUGCCAAACUGUUUAUUCAUUAUUAGAACAACUAAUGUAUCACUUCCUGCAUUUGGUGAUGUUUAAUUACAUUCCUAAAUUAAUGUCAGACUUAAAAUAAUGAGACAGAAUUCAGGUCUUAACCUGAGUAUUUAUUCUGGUUGUUACUGUUAUUGUUCAGUUUCUUUUUUAAAUAUAUGCAUAUAUAUAUUUUUUUUUUAUUGGAGGGGUGUCUGAGUGAAUGCUGAAAAAUUCCCAUCCUUUGAUUUUUUUUUUUUUUUUUGCAUAGAUCUUGUCCGUCAGUGGAUGACUUGUCCAAGAAUGGGGAAUCAGUACAUCACAAAAACCAUGCAGAAACAGUGAAAAGGCACAAUCACCAUAAAUAUCAGAUACACAAAAUUUCAAAUGUUUAUAGGUUUAUCUUUUUUUUUUUAAUGAAUGAGGGAGGGGUUGUACCAACUCAGGUGUAAUAUGGACAAAUCCUCCCAAGUAUUUUUAAGCUGCCAUUAUUUUCAGGGCACAACAUAAUACAGGAAAUCACCUCCCAUACAUUCGAUGCCUUUUGUUUGAAACACCCAUAAUGUUAAACAACUUCUAAUAGCUAUGUGGGAAAAUGCGAGCAUGUCCAUCUUUUUUUUCCUUUAAUGCAGUACAUUUCUUUUCAUAUAUAGAAACUAUUUGUCUUUUGCCUCUUUUUGUCCACAUCCCUCACAUCCAUCCACAACCAAUUUUUGAGAACUUUCACGCAAAGCAUAACACCUUAAUGAUAAUCAGACACAACAUACAGAAAACAUUUUUCAUUUCUGAGUGAGGAAGGGGGUGGAGAGGGGAAUAAAAAAGAUUCAAAACAGAAAACAUUUUCCACCUGCAAUCUGUGGUGAUUUUGCACACUUACACACACUUGUGAUCUUUCAGUUUUAUUUGCAACAGAUUAACAUGAUCUACCUCUCAGGCACAGUAUAGUGUUGGAAUACUGUGGAUGUCAUUAAAGACAGCACUAUAUGUUGUGUGUGUGUGGGGGGUGUGUGAUUAGCUCAACACCUUAUAUGCUCUGCAUUAUUUUGGAUAUAAAUGAUUACAUAAUGUUUAUCUUCAAAGCAAGCAAAAAAAACAAAACAAGGUAGUAUUCACUUUUUUUUAUAUUUUGAGUGCAAAGACUUUUUCAUUCAUAGGAUCACGGCCACAAGAGGAAACAAAAAAGGUACAUCAGAAAAAAAAAAAUCAUAUAAUGUCACUCAUUCAAGCAAAACAUCAAGACAACAAUCAGAAAUGAA
Long non-coding RNA from Xiphophorus couchianus (Monterrey platyfish), 2424 nucleotides. RefSeq lists it as uncharacterized. Lineage: Eukaryota; Metazoa; Chordata; Actinopteri; Cyprinodontiformes; Poeciliidae. The record is from RefSeq and is a predicted model, not a curated record. The transcript has 2 exons.